Molecule: ribosomal RNA, 550 nt
Filed under: Pataecus fronto (red indianfish)
Lineage: Eukaryota; Metazoa; Chordata; Actinopteri; Perciformes; Pataecidae
Description: partial 16S ribosomal RNA
Rfam family: Bacterial large subunit ribosomal RNA (bases 192-550)
Source: RNAcentral
GAAGCCUACCAGCUAGCCCUACGAAAUAAAAACAACUUAAAUCAUUAAAUACCCCCUAAUACACUAAAUUAGAUUAAACAAAUCAUUUUUCCCCCUAAGUAUAGGCGAUAAAAAAGGACCUCUCUGGAGCAAUAGAAAAAGUACCGCAAGGGACCGCUGAAAAAGAAAUGAAAUUCCAAUAAAGCCUUAAGAAGCAGAGAUUAUAGCUCGUACCUUUUGCAUCAUGAUUUAGCCAGUGUUAAUUAAGCGAAACGCAUUUCAGUUUAACACCCGAAACUAAGUGAGCUACUCCGAGACAGCCUAUAAAUAGGGCUAACCCAUCUCUGUUGCAGAAGAGUGGGAGGAACUUCGAGUAGAGGCGACACACCUACCGAACUUAGUUAUAGCUGGUUGCCUAAGAUUUGAAUAAAAGUUCAGCCCCUUAGCUUCUUCAUCCACACAGGUCCGACCCCUCCUCCCCUGUUGAUACAUAGAAACUUAGAGAGUAAUUCAAAGGAGGUACAGCUCCUUUGAACAAUGAUACAACUUUAACAGAAGGAUAAAGAUCCUA